GACGACGCCAAAAAAUAAGGGCAACACCAAGCGAAGCCCGGCCAAGCAAUUUUUUUUGUUCUCCUUUCCGUUUCGCAGCGCAGCAGGAUCCACUAGGACCACUAGAUGCAGUGGAGCAUCGAGCCAUUUCCGGGGGUGAGUUGAGGUGAGCAGAACCGAGCUACCUGGUGGAGGCUGGCACCUAGCUAAUCCACAGGAGGAAGAGAGGAGAACGGGAGCCUUUUUGAUGACAAGAACGGAGGCGUCAGGCGUGUGAUUAACAGUGAGCUGCUUGCUACCUAACUAUCAAUCUCUUUCGCUGCUUGCUUUCCAUUGAAAAUGAUGUGUUCUCCCACACCCUGCAACCUGAAGGCAACAUGCCUAGCACAAAAUUCUCCCAAGGAUUCCCAUGGUUUCCUAGCCCAAGAUGUGCAUGGAGCCUUGCUUCUUGAUCUCCAGCAGAACAGAAGUGAAGCACUGUGGCCUUGCAUGCCCAAGUUUUGUUGUUAGCGUUACCAAGAUCAUAGCUACCACUGAUGCAGUGCGUUCGCGAUGAACUGUGUAGAGCAGGUUCUGAAGAGAGUGUUACCUGCAUCUGCAUGGAAGAGGGAGGAGACCCGCAGCUUCCGAGCAUCUCCGUGGCACGCACCACGUCCGAAGGCGCGGGGGCCGUCGACUUGGAUCUCCUUGAGCAGCUACUGUCCGGCGACAACGGUUGGCUCGAGGUGGUCUCGCGCUCGCCCAACUCGGUAGCGUUUCCUCCACCCUCGGCCUUCUUCUCGGCUGACGCGACGGCCACCACAGUGACGACGACGGCGGCGCCGGCCGCGAACGCCAGCUGGUUGAUUCAGACGGGCGGCGCGAGCACCCCCUCCGUGCGGGAGCGGUUCAGCCAGGCCCUGUCCUACAUCCGUGAUACGCAGAGCGACGGCGACGUCCUCGUGCAGCUCUGGGUGCCGGUCAACCGCGAUGACGGGAAGCUGGUGCUGACCACCAGCGGUCAGCCGUUCACGCUCGACCACCGCUCCGACAGCCUCAUCCGGUUCAGGGAGGUGUCCACCAAGUACCAGUUCCCAGCCGACGUUAGGUCAGGGGAGUCACCAGGGUUGCCAGGGAGGGUCUUCAUCGGCAGGCUCCCUGAGUGGUCGCCGGACAUCAGGUGCUUCACCAGCUACGAGUACGCCAGGGUGACAGAUGCAAAGUACCUCGAUGUCCACGGCACCAUGGGGCUGCCAGUGUUCGAGAAAAGAAGUUACAGUUGCCUGGGCGUUAUCGAGCUGAUCAUGACAAAGCAGAAGCUCAACUUCACCUCUGAGCUCAACACCAUCUGCAGUGCUCUACAGGCAGUUAAUCUCAGAAGUACAGAAGUUUCGAGCAUUCCACGCAAAAAGUUUAGCACUGCUUCCUACAAAGAUGCUUUACCAGAGAUACUGGAGGUCCUGAGGGCAGCCUGCUUGACCCACAAGCUGCCAUUAGCUCAGACAUGGGUCACAUGUACUCAACAAGGGAAACGAGGCAGCCGACAUUCUGACGAGAACUACAGGUACUGCAUUUCCACCAUCGACGAAGCAUGCUUUGUGAAUGAAGCCGAGAUGCGGGGCUUCCAUGAGGCCUGCUCCGAACACCAUCUGCUGCGUGGCGAGGGGGUGGCAGGGAAGGCCCUCACGACAAACCAGCCAUGCUUCCUGCCGGACAUUGGAUCCUCAACUAAAUUGGAAUACCCCUUGUCUCACCAUGCUAAGAUCUUCAGGUUAAAAGGUGCAGUGGCGAUCCGACUGCGGUGCACACGCACUGGGAUAGCAGACUUCGUGCUGGAAUUCUUUCUUCCAACAGAUUGUGAAGCACUGGAGGAGCAGAAGACAGUGCUGGACUCCUUGUCAGGCACCAUGCGAAGUGUUUGCCAGACCCUACGUGUGGUCACAGAUAGAGAGAUGGAAGGCGAAGCGGCGCUGGAAAUGAACGAGCUGAACUCUUUUACUCCUCCUGAGAAGGACAAAGAUGAGUUGUCCUUUGGAGGCAAUUCAGCAGAUCGUAGAGGGGCCUCUUGGACAAGUCUGGCAGGAACUUCACAGCAAGAACCCGAGUUAGCUGCAUUGCGGAUGCAUGGAACGUUCUCACCUGUGGGGCAGGGUCCAUCUCUAUCUGGUGUUCAGGCAACUGCUGAAGGCAGUAAGACAAAAAGGCGCACAAAGGCCGAGAAGACCGUUAGUUUGCAGGUUCUUCGGCAGUACUUCGCUGGUAGCCUCAAAGAUGCAGCGAGAAGCCUUGGAGUGUGUCCCACGACCCUCAAAAGAAUAUGCAGGCAACAUGGUAUAACCCGCUGGCCAUCACGAAAGAUCAAGAAGGUAGACCACUCUCUAAGAAAGCUCCAACAGAUCAUUGAUUCGGUUCAUGGUGCAGAGACAGCUUUCCAGCUAAACACCCUGUACAAGGAUCUCACAGACACCUCAAUAUCAUCUGACAACAAUUUGUCAGGAAGUGUCACGGUUCCUCCAACUAACCAGAGCAAUCUCACCGACUUCAACAAGCACCAACCCCACAAGUCAAGUAGCAAUAUGCCAUCAACUUCACACUCACACUCCUCAUGCAGCCACGGUUCUCAGUCAAGCCCCUCGUGUAGCGUUGGUGCAACAGAACAUGCACAACAGGGUAUAAUUGAUCUGAUGAAGUCAGAAAAUCCUGUGAAAGACAGCUCUAUUCAGACUAUGCAAACAGAAAACACUUCAUUAUAUGAGCAUUUCUCAGUUCAUGAGGCUCCAAUUGAUCUUCUACAGGAUGUUACUGAAAAGGCUAAUGGUGCACAUCAUUCUUCUCGAAGCCUGUCAUCCCCCAACCCCAAGCAGAACACAGAUGCAAAUAUGAGAGUAAAGGCAACAUUUGGCUCAGAAAAGGUGAGAUUCCGACUAAACCCAGAGUGCAAUUUUCAAGGACUGAAGCAUGAGCUAGCGAAACGUUUGAGUAUAGUAGACACAAACCCCUUGGUUUUAAAGUACUUGGAUGAUGAUUCAGAAUGGGUCUUGAUGACAUGUGAUGCAGAUCUGCAGGAGUGCCUUCAUGUAUACAAACUAGCAGAUAUCCAAACAAUCAAAAUUUCAGUUCAUUUAGCUGUUAGUCCAGCUACAAGGGUCACAGCUGGUCACACUGGUUUGUCAUGACAACAGUAUGAGCCUCACCACUUUGUGAGGUUUAAUCAAAUUCAACCAGGAUCACAUGGUUUUGUGCAGGGGAAACCAAAGAUUCCAGGAGUCCAGGGUUGGUAGCUGUGCAAUACUGCAAUGUACUAUGUACCACCACGUCCCAGUUCUACUGUUAGAUCAAUUAGUCUUGUUUCUGAUGCUCAGGUUAGGAACUAAUGAUCAAACAAGAAUACUUGACAAUGAGAGAGUCAAGAAAUCAGGAUAAACAGAAGGUGACGUAUCUACAAAUCAGAUUUGCUCCAACUCCAAGUAUGUUUUGUUUCUUUGAGUGCUGAUGUGCAACAAUCAUUGAUGGCUUCUUUCUGAUAAUUGAUCAGCUACAAUUGUCCCUUAAGAUCACAGCAUUCCUUCAUCGCCUGAGCGAUCAGCAUGCUCUGUUCAAUGCACAUGAAAUUCUGCUUCUGAAAUUGUAAUUUUCUGCAGCAAGGAUUAGAUCUAGAAUAGGAUGAUAGGAUACUUAGUUUGUUCAAUAUGUUUGUCCAUUGCAAAAAAAAAUAAAAAAUGAAUGGUACACUGAAUUAUGGGCCUCUUUGAAAGAACGUCUGCUGCUGUAGACAUUAUAGAUUGUUUUCCUUUAAGAAGCUUCCAUUUGUGAA
Molecule: RNA transcript, 3772 nt
Organism: Zea mays
Lineage: Eukaryota; Viridiplantae; Streptophyta; Magnoliopsida; Poales; Poaceae
Gene name: NIN-like protein 1
Exons: 5
Source: RefSeq, marked validated